Acanthopagrus latus (yellowfin seabream) is the source of this 5995-nucleotide long non-coding RNA. RefSeq lists it as uncharacterized. NCBI's taxonomy places the organism in Eukaryota, Metazoa, Chordata, Actinopteri, Spariformes, Sparidae. The transcript is spliced from 2 exons. The record is from RefSeq and is a predicted model, not a curated record.
AGUAUCAGCCAGGGGCAACAUGAAAGAAAAGCUCUGAACCUUUGGUAAUGAAGGUUGUUUGACUGACAUUUCACUGCAAGGAAUGCUGCACAGGUGUUUUCAAAUCCAGGCUACCUCUGGUUUGAGGGGCUGCUUCUUUAUUACAGCACGUUGGGAUCAGGGAUUUCCACAAGAGUACAGGAGUGGCCAGCCAAUAGGAAAGAGUAGCCAGCUGGAGGGGGGGUCCGGGGCCACCGAGGAAAAUGAUGCCUGCAAAAGCGGAAAUUUGGUGGCCUCACCCAACCAAUAUGUAGAGCCAUCAUGAACAGACAAACAUGAAAAGCCUCUGGAAAAUCAGGCCAGUCUGUUGCAAUAUGUAUUCGGUGACGACUUGUGUACAUUGAAUUGUGUUUAACGACAUCUGACAGGCUGCUGCGUUGGUGAUCACUGAUAACCUUUUACCCGCUGACCUCUGACCUUGGCCGCAGCUGACAAUGUUUAUAUGCUUUCACAGAUUUUACCAUACAAAUAAUACGGAAAGAGUUCUCCAAAAAGGCUCUCUUUGAUUUAAUCCCCUAUUCUUCCCAGAAGCGCCACAAUUGAACCUCUGUUGUGACCAUCUAAAGCUCUGGUGAGAAAUUCUGAAUCCCGCUCAACUGCUUAAAACCGUGGCCCUCUUCCAAGACGCCUUACCCAGCCACCUUAAAGCUGAUGCAUUUUUUGCAUUUCUGAACGACAACUCUCUCAACACAAAGCACCAACAGGAUUGUUUUGCUUUGUGGCUUGAAGGAGGGAGAGCUGUAGGUUUUCGUCAAGUCUGCUGUGCCUGCUUGUUUUCAUGUUGGAAUUACUGGACUUUCAAGAUUAACACUUAAUAUGUUACGCAACAGAGGUGGAAUUCAGACGUUCAAGAGAACAAUCUAAACACACCAGUUCACCGAGCUCCUGCUUGCAGCUACAACAUUCAGUUUCAGCUGCUUGCAUUUUCAAAAUUAGCUGUUAGUUUAGAGGAAAAUUCAUGAUUGAAAACUGUUAUAUUGUUAUAGUUUUAACUUUCUGGUCAUGCUAAUUAACACAUUAGCACAUCUGUAAUUGAGAUAAUAGUGUCCUAUAGAGGGGGUCAGUUAGAGCGCAGACAUACAUGUCACCUAUGAAGAAAUUACCGGAUUCUUGUGACUUGGGCCAAAACAGUGGCUUAUGACAUAAGAGGGCUAAAGCUGUACUUGGCAGACUUACUCCUCGCUCCUUUUUGUUGUAAACAAAAGCCAAGUCUCCGCUGUAUUGUCUCUGCAUGGUCAGAUGACUGGCUGGACGUUUGAACAGACUCAUUUUUUAAUACCAAUUAUUACACCAGUUGGAUUAGCUUCAUUUUUUUUCUCAAAACUGGGUUGACCAGCAAGAGUGAGCUAGAUUUUAAAUUAUAGAACCAAAACAAUUCCCAGCCCCUUCCUUCAGGCCUCCCUCCCAAGACACUCCCCCAAAACACAUAAAUGCACACUGCCUGACUGCAGCAACAGCACCAGAGCUUCUGGACCAGCGGGCUGAAAGAUGUGUGUAAACUGUGAGUUUUCGGGAUUUCACAAGCUAUCUCUGCAUCUUUCGUCUGAUAAAUUCAAAAAUUACAAAACUUUGUUUAAUGCCUGGUCCUGAAAUUGCCGCUCACUGCGAUUGGUGUGUGCUUUGUGCUUAACAUCACUGGGUUAGCUCAUUAAACCUCAGGUUGGUACAACUGUAAAAACCAGCAAAAGACUGCUAAAGUUUUUGGGUAUCCAACCCAAAAAAAUCCAUUUCCUCCCUUAAGAGCCAGUCCUCCAAAACACAUGAAUAUUCACUGCUGGAGUACAAGGACUGCCCACCAGUUCCUUCUUUUGGUUAGUUGGGAGACGUAUGAGUGGCUAGUUUGCUACGUUCAACUUGCUCUCUCAGCUCUUUAGACCAAUAAUUUCAUAAAUACACGACUCCUUUGAAUGCUGAAAUGCCACAGUCAUGUAAACACAAGCAAAAUACCUGUCUGAAAAAGACAGUGACACUGGAUGUGUGCUUUGUGCCAACAUUAGGUGCCGAAGAAGGCUGUUCUGCUGACACAGCUAUGUUCGGAGCAGAGACUGUGUUUUUUGUGUUAACAUAUGCCGCAACAGGAGUGUGUUCCUGCUGCAGCGGCCUCUUAUUGGGCUCAGGAGCUCAGCAUGCUCUUUGGUACUUGGUUAGAGGUUUAACGUCUGUCACUGUUGCUGCUGCUCAGUCGUUCUUUUGCUCAGGGGCUGUGUGCUUAGUGCUACUGAGUUAGCUAGCUGUAGAAGAGCAGGCUCAGUGGCUGAGUACUGCGAACUCAGCUCAUCGUUGUCUUCAGUAAACAUACCCAUACUUCAUGCCUCACUGUCAUGUAAGAAAACACUAAUCAUUAUCAUGAUGAAUGUAAACAACCAACAUGGCUAUUGUUAGUACAGAUUAGCAAUGAGGAAAUCUAGGCUGCACUUUCUCUCCCAUUCUUGCGCUGAUGGCUUCCGCAACAUGUCCACCGCGCCACAUGCUGGUAAACGUCCUGAUGAGAAGCUACAUCUGAUCUACAAGAGGCGUUGACGAACAUGUUGUGAUAUGCGCACACCUGGAAAACAUUUUUUAACGUUGAAAUACAAUCUCACUAUAGAAUACAAGGCAUAAUCACAGCAUUUUUCUAAGUGUGCACCCUGAAAGUUGGCAAGAACAGAAUGAUGAUUCAUUGUUUUAAAUGUUCCUGCAUAUCAGUUGCUGUAAUUCAUCUUAGUUAAAAGAGCAGGUUGGAGUGACGACCAUGUUCACGUGAUAACACUCGGGCAUUGUUUCUGUAUUUGUUUACUCUAAGUCUGCUAAUCUCUUAUUUCACUAACACAAAGAAGGUCUUUGUCCUCAUACAUUCGUUAGAGUUUUUAAAUAACUUUGUCUGAGAUCUCUCUACACUGCCUGAUGGUGCUAAAUGGUCCGUAUUAGAUAGAAUGAGGGUAAAACUGACACUUCCAUAUUGCAGAGGACCAGGAAGUCAUCUUUUGUUUUUGUAAAGACUGUGUAAAAUCUUUUUCCUUAAGCAAGAGAAACCUGCUGCACAGGAGAGAUUCAGAGUUCACCUUUUGUCACCAGUACAGAGAGUUUUUCAGGAAAUGGUGCAGUGACUGUCCAGCUUACUUGCCAAACAAUAUUUCUCAAAGUAAGGUAAGAAAAUAGUGCUUUUUUAAUCUUAAGUCAAAUAUUAACAUAUCAUGAUGCUUUUUUCAAAUCUUCCAAUAUAUUUUUCUUACAGUUGGGUGGAUUAUUGUAAGACUACCAACCGGACCAUGUGGAAGAGCUCAGAGAACAAGUGGAUUCAAACAUCUUCCUCCACUGUGCUCACUGAGUACAAACCAAAGCCCAACCAGAAUGAACCAGCUGGGUCUGAAGCAGCCCAGGACAGGGACUUAAUGCCCAUUCUCAUCCUCUCCGCCUCGCCUCAUCUAUCUUCGCAAGCUCACCUCGAGUCCAACAAGGUCUUGAUUCACUGUAACCGGCCCUGUCACUCUGCCCGGUGCCCCUGCAGAACCUCAGUUGACCAACCGGCAGGCAAGAGGCCAAACAAGGCUGUAACUCUCCGCUAAAUCGCUGACACACUCCUUUCCUUUCUUUGCUGGGCCCACAAAGGCUGCACUCCCGGUGCCACGGGGCCCCCUAAGUCCGUCCCGAUUAAGACGCCCAUGAGGUGCGUGAAGGCGGGGGGAGAGGGGGCCGGGUGAGAGCUAAAUGUGUCUAAUCCCACAGUAAUUAAACAAGCAGAAACAAAAGGAAGGAAGAAUGAAAUAUUAGACUUUAAUGUAAAUUUUCAGAGGUAAACUUUCCCAUGACCCCUUCACCAUUGUGCAUCUCUGCCUGUAACUUACAUCACCAAAAGUUAUUGGUUAAUGCAUCUAAGUUUCUGUACACCCAUUCGGUGAGCUAAGAGUUAUCACAGCCGCUGUCAGAGGAAGGCUGUGGAUGGAGGACCUGUUGGCGUUUAACACAUGAGGUCAGGUCGCCACUAUUACACACAGGGUUCAAGGUUAAAAGUUCAUCAAGAUGUGUCACACACACCAAGUAUUUAACACAAUGUGCAGUGAAAUGCACGUCCAAGAUUAUCUUGAAAGGGGUUAGAUUAAAAAAUAGUAGUCAGACGUGAAAAUGAAAAGAAGCCCAGAGAUGAAGAUAAACACAUACACUUCAAAAACCUACAUGAACAAAACCAUACACACAUUUUAGCACUAAUUGUAAUUUUAGUAACACUAAUUUUUACACUAUUUAUUGCAGCAGUCGUUUGAGCUUCCUGUUUUUUGUCGCAGCAGGAGCAAAGGCCCAAGAGUUCCUGGAAAACACAAACUCAUCUCAGGGACAAGUAAGUGAAGAAAGGAAGACAGAGCGAUGUGUGUUUAUUAUAUGAUCUACGUGUGUGCAGUAGAUCUUAAAGGGUCAUUUUUUUGUGGUAUGUUUAAACCUGGGCUCUAUAAUCCUGACUGUGAAAGUUACGUCCACUAAAGUGCUUGUUUUGCCACUGAUUCUAAGUGUGUGACAACAUUACGGAAACGAUUCCUGCAGAGAGAGAUCCUUUUUUUGUCAAAUAAUAAUGUUCCUUCUGUCACCACAAACACAGGUCAGGCUCACGGAGAUGCAGCACUGCUUAUCAAAGUGCAAUACUUUUGUGGCACGGUCUGAACUGCCUUGAUAAUAUUGAGUAUCGAAAGAUGUCUUGUCAUUCGAUACCAAAUUUCAGUACCUAAGGACUUAAUCUCAUCAGUGUCAGUGAGUUGAAAGGCAUGCAGCAUACUUGUUGUGCCAAGAUCUAAUUGUGCUGGUGGCAGGUUCACUUGAAGCUUGCUGGAAAAACACCAGGUUACGCCCAGAAUAUGUGUAAUAUGAUCCUUAGUUAAACAGACCUGUAUUGCUGCUGGUACUAAAUUCUUUUAAUGAUGCCCUAUGGAGAGGUCUCGCUCUUAAAUCCUGUGAAGUCAGUGGUUACAGUCGUUGCCUCAUCUAGUUUGUGAAGUUAUUAGUUAAUGUGACUCAGUUUUCCACCGACAUCUUCCUGCAACAACUCACCCUUUCGUGAGAUUUCAGAGCAAGACUUCCACUGGAACAACCAGACUUUUGUUUUCCGGUUACAAAAAAUGAGUGGAGCUAACUCUGGCAGUCGUAGUUGCCCCAAAAGAUCUCAUUGCAGUGAUGCAGAUGCGAGUUGAGGCGAUCUGCAGGACCAAUUCUAAAACUUUUGGUAAGUAUGAAUCAUUUACAUGCUGAUAUAGAGCCCAGCUUUACAAAUGCCAUUUAGAUUUCCAUGCCGGCGAUGUGAUAUUAGAUCAGUAUCAUAAUUCCCCUGCUUUAAUGUGUGAUCAAGGAGUUAAAACUUGCACAUUGUCCCUCAUAAAAAAAAGUGAAAUGAGCACAUUGUGAGCUCAACCAGGGAGCCCACCUCCCUCUCUCCUCAUCAUUAUGUCAAAUUAGGGAAAUGUCACUCCCACCGCCUCCACAACCGUGCAAAAUAGAAAAACAGAUGUCACAUGGCAUUAGCCCUGUGCGGCAGUGUUUGCUGAAAUUCACUGGAGCAUCUCUGAGGUCUCCAGUCGGAGCCAAAUGAGGUAAGAGAGGACUGUAGCCAGUGAGAGGAAAAGCCAGUGAGCUGUUUUCUUGUGAAAUCCUUUUUUGACCCAUAGGUGUGUCAUUACUGCUCCUAACACAAGGUCAUUUUACCAUAAACACCUCUUACAGGCUCCAAAGGACGCUGUGUUUGAUCAUCAUCUCUCCGCUACUGACAUAUCAACUUCUGACAAGACAUCUGGCAGCAUCGAUGUGGGAAGAAUUCUUCUCACUCAGAAUACAAUAUACAAAUGAGUUUCACAAUUAAUACCAUGUGAAUGUGGGUAAACUAAGUUUUUCCUUUUGUUUUUGGUGUCAAGGCUCAGUGUUGUUGUCAUGUUAACAAAAUAUUCAGGCUUUGAAGUGUUGAACUGGAAUAAUAAAACAGAUGAUUUGUCAUUCUUUUAAA